GAAGGUCGCUGAAUUGGCCCAUAAUUGCUCAAUUCUUCUUCCCGCUAUCGUCUAGCUUCAGGUCGGCGGCCAUGGCGAUCCAAGUUAUUGAGUUUUUACAUUUGAAAAUUGCAUUGAAUGAGUUUGUUUUAGAGUUUUGAAAUUCGGAUCCAACAAACUCACAUUAGUUAGUAGUAUUAGUAGAGCGAGUGAGUGGACGGAGAAACGAAGAGGUUAGGGUUUGGAGUCAGAGCAUGAGAAGUUUCGAGGAGGAAGUUGGGAACAGUUGCUUGUAAAAAGAAGCUCCAGAAGGUUGCACAUUAAUUAGUAGUUUUAGUAGAGCGAUCGAGUGAGUGGAUGAGAAAAGAGGUUAGGGUUUGGUGUCAGAGAGAGGGAAAUUUUGAGGACGGAGGACUGAGGAGCAAGUUGGACACAGUUGCUCCUUUUUCUUCCUGCCUGUCUCGAGAUCGAUCUUCUCUAGCCAUGGCGGUUGACGAAGAAUUGGCAACCGUGCGGUUAGAGAAAGAGAGAGAAGGGAGCCAUCUCGUCUCCGUCGUCGCCUCGUCGUCGCAUUUCAGAAUCCAUAUAUACGUACUCUAAGACUCUAGUGUUCAACUCUUUGUUGCAGUGUCAUGGGAUUUUAUGUUUGGUCGUUUUUGUCUUCUUUAUUUGCAAAUUGUGGGAGGCAGAAUGAGGAAGACACAAUCCUGGAAGGCUAGACUGUUGCAUUGCGUUCGCUGUGUUGAGCUUGGAGCCGAAAUUCAGUACUCCUCCAUGGGGUUGGAAGGAUGUAUUUCAGGCAGGCCCAAAUAAUACAAAUACGAAAAUAUGGAAGAUGAAGUUUCACCGGCCCGAUAUAGAAUGAAGGGCGCCCCAUAAUCGCUCAAUUCUCUGCCCGCGCUCGUCUAGCUUCAGGUCGGCUGCUAGGGCGAUCCGAAUUUUUAAAUUAGGAAUUUGGGCAUGUUUGUUAGAGCUUUUGCAUUAGUUAGUAGAGCAAGCUAGUGAAUGAGAGAGACGAAGAGAGGUUAGGGUUUGGGGUCAGAGCAAGGGAAGUUUCUAGGAUGAAGUUGGAAACAGUUGCUCGUAACAAACUCCAACGCACGCACAUUAGUUAGUAGUAUUGGUAGAUCGAGUGAGUGAAUGAGAGAGACGAAGAAGAGAGGUUAGGGUUUGGGGUCAGAGAUUUGUGGAGGAAGUUGGAAUGAAAACAGUUACUCUUUUUUCUUCCUGCCUGUCUUGAGAUCGAUUUUCUCUAGCCAUGGCGGUUGAAGAAGAAUUGCUGGUAAAACCUCCAUCGUUUCUGGCAACCACGCGGCGAGAGAAAGAGAUAGAGGGGAACCAUCUCGUCUCCGUCGUCGCCUGGUCUUCGCAUUUCAGCAUCCAUGUAUACGUACUCGAAGACUCUAGGGGUAUUUUUAUGAAUGGGGAAGGACACAAUCCUGGAAGGCGAGAAUGUUGCAUUGCUUUUACGCUGUGCUGAGCUUGGAGCCGAAAUUCAGUACUCCUCCAUUGCGUUGGAUGGAUGUGUUUCAGGACGGGAGUAUAAUUAUUAUCCUAUGGAGAGUUCCUUAUUCAUCGUUAGAUUUUCCCAAUCUCAGUUCUCGAUUACUUAACCUGCCCGGGGAAGAAGUGAUUACUGGACCCAGGUCAUCCUUACUACAUAUCGAGCCCAUAUUCAUGAUAACAACAUCUCUUUGUCCUUCACCCAAAACCCACUUUAUGUUGGGCUAGACCAAUCAACCAACCAAGCGAAACACUAACAAGCCCAAAAGUCCACGUAACGCACAAGGUUGAUCACGCUCAAGUGCUAGUCGUACAUCCUCAAGUCCCAAAAACAUAAAUCAGGCCCAAGUCACCAUUACCCAGAUUUGCAGCCACUUUACUAGCCCAUAUAUUUUCAACGCGGGCCCGCAUAUUGGCCCAGAAGUAUAUUUUGAGCAAAGGUUGUCGCCCCAAGAUUGUGUGCAAACCCAAGCCUGAUGUAAUGCCCUAAAUUUCGGCCCAAUUCCAACGGGUCCUUGUUGUGCGGCCCAUUUAGCAUACCAUGGCCCAAUAAUUUGUUCGAAAUGGGCUCAUUGGUUGACGGCAAGGUCAAUUAUUCGGCCCGUGCAAGGCUCGUAAAAGGCCCAUUUAGCAAUCCAUGACCCAAUAAUGUUGGCUCUAAAUGGGCCCAUAUGUUGAGUGCAUUGUUAAUUAUUCGGCCCACGUACGGCCAUUCAACAUCCUAUCGCCCAAUAUUGUUGGCUGUAAAUGGGCCCGUUUGUUGAUUGCAUGGUCAACAAGUCGGUCCAUGUAUGGCCCAUUUAGCAUUCCGUGGCCCAAUAACGUUUGCACUAAAUGGGCCCAUUUGUUGAGUGCGUAGUUAAUCAUUCGGCCCAUUAAUCAUCCCAUGGCCCGAUAACACUAACUUGGCCCCUGAGUUGAUUGCAAAGUCAAUUGAUAGGCCCAUAUAUGGCCCAUUUAGCAUCCGUGGCCCGAUAAUAUUCGCUUUAAACUGGCACGUUUGGCAUCCCGUGGCCCGAUGAUAUUCGAACUAAAUGGGCCGAUUUGUUAAGCGCGUGUUCAAUCAUUCAGCCCACUGUUGUUCCCUUCCCCACCCCCUCAAAUUUUGUCAACCUAUGCCCAC
Andrographis paniculata is the source of this 2605-nucleotide long non-coding RNA. RefSeq lists it as uncharacterized. NCBI's taxonomy places the organism in Eukaryota, Viridiplantae, Streptophyta, Magnoliopsida, Lamiales, Acanthaceae. The transcript has 7 exons. The record is from RefSeq and is a predicted model, not a curated record.